AUGCGCGUCGGCACUGCCAUUGUCGUGCACGCGCCUGUUGCCAACACUCCCUUUGCGAUCCUGCUGGUGGUACCUGUACGGCACGAUCUCCGAGGACCUAUCGCCGUCGCCGUCGUCAACGUGCCGGCUGUCCAGCUCCAGAGCUCUGGACUGCUCCCACACCUUGCUGGCCUGCCAGGCCGCGAACUCCUUCUUGAACUUCUGCAGCUCCUCCUCCUGCGGGUGCUCCCGCGGCACCAGCUUGCUCCACCCAUCACCACCACCACCAUUACUCCUCUUGGUCAGCUGAGCAAGAAUCUCCCUCUCGUCAUCCCCGGCGUCGUCGAAGGUGUAAACUUCCUGUUUCGCCAUAUGCCGGGCAGGAUUCUUCUGCUGCGCGAAGGAGACAUGCUUGGUGGGCACCGGCCUCGCGACGAUCAUCCCCUGCCUGGCAUCAUCCAGGUGGGUGGUGAGCUCGGAGUUCAUCGGCGGCGAGUCCAUGCCCAUCAACCUGGCAAUGACGCUGGGCACUCUCUUGUGCCCUUCGUUGGGCCGGAAGGACGCGUCCUCAUGGAUCAGCUUCUUGAUCGGGGCCGAGGAGGAUCUUGGGUACUGCCUCAUGCUGUUGCAGGAGUACUGCAGAGAGUUGUACAUGAAACUUGGUCAGGACUUGGAACAAUGCCAACAGCUCGACAUAUGGCCUCCUACUUAUUGAUGGACAAGAGAUGGCAAGCAAUGAUGCAGAGAAUGGCCAGGCAACAACAGUCAGGUACAAGUACACCUAGCAGCAGAGCUGCCAAGGACGGACGGACAAUACAUAUCAUCUGUCAAGGAAGAUCUACCCACCUAACUGGAAAUUGGACAGUAGUAUGUGCCUGGAAUGAGAAAAAGGCUUUCCAGGUCCUUUUUCUGGAAACAAAAUAA
This 903-nucleotide ribosomal RNA is filed under the name Triticum aestivum (bread wheat). RNAcentral describes it as "partial small subunit ribosomal RNA". The record is from RNAcentral. Lineage: Eukaryota; Viridiplantae; Streptophyta; Magnoliopsida; Poales; Poaceae.